GCGGAUGUGGCGGAAUUGGCAGACGCACUGGAUUUAGGUUCCAGCGAGGGUAACUUCGUGGGAGUUCAAGUCUCCCCAUCCGCACCA
This 87-nucleotide transfer RNA is filed under the name Acidobacteriota bacterium. RNAcentral's name for it is "tRNA-Leu". It matches the Rfam family "tRNA". From Rfam's summary of the family: Transfer RNA (tRNA) molecules are approximately 80 nucleotides in length. Their secondary structure includes four short double-helical elements and three loops (D, anti-codon, and T loops). Lineage: Bacteria; Pseudomonadati; Acidobacteriota. The record is from RNAcentral.